AACGUACGCUGGCGGCACGCUUAACACAUGCAAGUCGAACGAAGUAGCAAUACUUAGUGGCAGACGGGUGAGUAACAUGUGGGUAUCUGCCCUUUGGCCUGGAAUAACACGAGGAAACUUGUGCUAAUACCGGAUAAGUCUUUACGGAGAAAGCUUUAUGCACCAUUGGAUGAGCCUGCACUUGAUUAGUUUGUUGGUGGGGUAAUGGCCUACCAAGACUGUGAUCAAUAGCUGAUUUGAGAGGAUGAUCAGCCACAUUGGGACUGAGACACGGCCCAAACUCCUACGGGAGGCAGCAGUGGGGAAUCUUGCACAAUGGAGGAAACUCUGAUGCAGCGAUGCCGCGUGAGUGAAGAAGGCCCUUGGGUUGUAAAGCUCUUUCGUCGGGGAAGAAAAUGACUGUACCCGAAUAAGAAGGUCCGGCUAACUUCGUGCCAGCAGCCGCGGUAAUACGAAGGGACCUAGCGUAGUUCGGAAUUACUGGGCUUAGAGAGUUCGUAGGUGGUUGAAAAAGUUAGUGGUGAAAUCCCAGAGCUUAACUCUGGAACUGCCAUUAAAACUUUUCAGCUAGAGUAUGAUAGAGGAAAGCAGAAUUUCUAGUGUAGAGGUGAAAUUCGUAGAUAUUAGAAAGAAUACCAAUUGCGAAGGCAGCUUUCUGGAUCAUUACUGACACUGAGGAACGAAAGCAUGGGUAGCGAAGAGGAUUAGAUACCCUCGUAGUCCAUGCCGUAAACGAUGUGUGUUAGACGUUGGAAAUUCAUUUUCAGUGUCGCAGCGAAAGCGAUAAACACACCGCCUGGGGAGUACGACCGCAAGGUUAAAACUCAAAUGAAUUGACGGGGACCCGCACAAGUAGUGGAGCAUGUGGUUUAAUUCGAAGAUACGCGCAGAACCUUACCAACACUUGACAUGUUCGUCGCGACUCUAAGAGAUUAGAGUUUUCGGUUCGGCCGGACGAAACACAGGUGCUGCAUGGCUGUCGUCAGCUCGUGUCGUGAGAUGUUGGGUUAAGUCCCGCAACGAGCGCAACCCUCACUUUUAGUUGCCAUCAUUAAGUUGGGCACUCUGAAAGAACUGCCAGUGAUAAGCUGGAGGAAGGUGGGGAUGACGUCAAGUCCUCAUGGCCCUUACGUGUUGGGCUACACACGUGCUACAAUGGUAUCUACAACAGGAAGCAAGACUGCGAGGUCAAGCAAAUCCUUAAAAGAUACCCCAGUUCGGAUUGCACUCUGCAACUCGAGUGCAUGAAGCUGGAAUUACUAGUAAUCGUGGAUCAGCGUGCCACGGUGAAUGCGUUCCCGGGUCU
Molecule: ribosomal RNA, 1306 nt
Filed under: uncultured bacterium
Lineage: Bacteria
Description: bacterial SSU rRNA
Rfam family: Bacterial small subunit ribosomal RNA
Source: RNAcentral